GGGCUGUUAGCUCAGUUGGUAGAGCACCGCAUUUGCAAUGCGGGGGUCAGGAGUUCGAAUCUCCUACAGUCCA
This 73-nucleotide transfer RNA is filed under the name Candidatus Moraniibacteriota bacterium. Its description in RNAcentral is "tRNA-Ala". It matches the Rfam family "tRNA". From Rfam's summary of the family: Transfer RNA (tRNA) molecules are approximately 80 nucleotides in length. Their secondary structure includes four short double-helical elements and three loops (D, anti-codon, and T loops). The record is from RNAcentral. Lineage: Bacteria; Candidatus Moraniibacteriota.